GGGGAGCAGCCCAGAGUCUUAAUCAGCAUCAGCAUCAGGAGAACGGUCUGGAAAGGCCGGCAAUAAAGGGUGAUAGCCCCGUAUCCGAAGGUGUUGGUGUUGUGAACUCGACGAGUAGGGCGGGACACGUGUUAUCCUGUCUGAAUAUGGGGGGACCAUCCUCCAAGGCUAAAUACUCCUGAUUGACCGAUAGUGAACCAGUACCGUGAGGGAAAGGCGAAAAGAACCCCGGCGAGGGGAGUGAAAUAGAACCUGAAACCGUGUACGUACAAGCAGUGGGAGCCUUGAUUUAUCAGGGUGACUGCGUACCUUUUGUAUAAUGGGUCAGCGACUUAUAUUCUGUAGCAAGGUUAACCGAAUAGGGGAGCCGUAGGGAAACCGAGUCUUAACUGGGCGAAUGAGUUGCAGGGUAUAGACCCGAAACCCGGUGAUCUAGCCAUGGGCAGGUUGAAGGUUGGGUAACACUAAC
Molecule: ribosomal RNA, 469 nt
Filed under: Providencia stuartii
Lineage: Bacteria; Pseudomonadati; Pseudomonadota; Gammaproteobacteria; Enterobacterales; Morganellaceae
Description: partial 23S ribosomal RNA
Rfam family: Bacterial large subunit ribosomal RNA
Source: RNAcentral